UAGGGAAUCUUGCGCAAUGGGCGAAAGCCUGACGCAGCCAUGCCGCGUGAAUGAUGAAGGUCUUAGGAUUGUAAAAUUCUUUCACCGGGGAAGAUAAUGACGGUACCCGGAGAAGAAGCCCCGGCUAACUUCGUGCCAGCAGCCGCGGUAAUACGAAGGGGGCUAGCGUUGCUCGGAAUUACUGGGCGUAAAGGGCGCGUAGGCGGAUAUCUAAGUUGGGGGUGAAAGCCCGGGGCUCAACCUCGGAAUAGCCUUCAAUACUGGAUAUCUUGAGUUCGGGAGAGGUGAGUGGAAUGCCGAGUGUAGAGGUGAAAUUCGUAGAUAUUCGGCGGAACACCAGUGGCGAAGGCGACUCACUGGCCCGAUACUGACGCUGAGGCGCGAAAGCGUGGGGAGCAAACAGGAUUAGAUACCCUGGUAGUCCACGCCGUAAAACGAUGAGUGCUAGUUGUCGGCAUGCAUGCAUGUCGGUGACGCAGCUAACGCAUUAAGCACUCCGCCUGGGGAGUACGGUCGCAAGAUUAAAAACUCAAAGGAAUUGACGGGGGUCAUAGCUGUUUCCUG
RNAcentral lists this ribosomal RNA (564 nucleotides) under uncultured bacterium. RNAcentral describes it as "partial 16S ribosomal RNA". It matches the Rfam family "Bacterial small subunit ribosomal RNA", at positions 355 to 941 of the family's 1533-position model. The record is from RNAcentral.